GGGUGCAAUCAUGCCAGCACUAAUGCACCGGAUCUCAUUAGAACUCCACAGUUAAGCCUGCUUAGGCGAGAGUAGUACUAGUGUGGGUGACCUCUUGGGAAGUCCUGGUGUUGCACCCC
Gossypium arboreum is the source of this 119-nucleotide non-coding RNA. The record is from Rfam. Lineage: Eukaryota; Viridiplantae; Streptophyta; Magnoliopsida; Malvales; Malvaceae.